Molecule: ribosomal RNA, 382 nt
Filed under: uncultured eukaryote
Lineage: Eukaryota
Description: partial 18S ribosomal RNA
Rfam family: Eukaryotic small subunit ribosomal RNA
Source: RNAcentral
UGUAAGCGUAUACCAAAGUUGUUGCAGUUAAAACGCUCGUAGUCGGAAUUUGGCAGUUCCGGAUGUGUGCACGUCGUGUGCGCACUUCGCGGGGAUUGCUUUUGUGGUCUUGCGUAGGAUGAGGCACUUUUAUUAGUGAACGUCCUCACGCAACCACUUUUUACUGUGAGAAAAUCAGAGUGCUCAAAGCAGGCAUUUGCCGUGAAUGUAUUAGCAUGGAAUAAUAGAAUAGGACUUGGUUCUAUUUUGUUGGUUUGUUGGGACUGAGUAAUGAUUAAGAGGGACAGUUGGGGGCAUUUGUAUUUCGGUGCUAGAGGUGAAAUUCUUGGACCGUCUGAAGACUAACUACUGCGAAAGCAUUUGCCAAGAAUGUCUUCAUUAA